GGGUUUGGAGUUGGUUGUGCUGUGAAGAAGGAGGAGUCUGUGCUAUGAAGGGCUGCCCAUGAGAAAUCACUGAGAAGAAAAAAUGGAGGGAAGAUGUUAAAGAAUUUGAAGAAAGUAAUUUAAUUCUCUUUAAAGAGUGUGGAUGAUCUUGUUGCAUGACAUAGCAAGAGCCUCUUCCUUCUGCUGAUCCCUCUGGAAGAAAUACCACACAUGGGCUGUUUAUUAAAGAGCACCGGAGUACACUUUCUAGACACAUAUCUCAGAGUCACAGAAGCCAAUUUUAUAUGCCUUCACAAAUUCUGCAUUCCUUCCAGACCAUCUGCUUAACAGAUAAUAGAAACUUCUGACACAUAUUGAAUGAAGUGUCAUUCAGGUUUAAGGGAAAAGAGACUUCCUGAAUUAAUGAUUAACAAAUGAUGGCAUUAACUGGUUGAUAAAUCUUUCAGAAACUCCUUAUAUAUAUAACAUGAUGAGGAGAAUGCCUCUUCCUGCCUGACUUUAGAGUGCUUUGCUGAAGAAUUUCUUUAAAGAAGUGAAAUUGAGAAGAUAAGGGUCAAAGAUUACAGACUUCAAGCAUCAGUGGGUGUGCAAGAAUAGACUAAGAAAGAAGACAUUUCUACGCUAUAUUAAAUGUUAAAACCCAAAUUUUGUGUGCCAAGAGAGUGCACCAUUCAUUUCUCAGUCAUCUGCACAUAAAACACCCAUGAAAAUCAAGGAACAGGAUUUUCAGUUCUUUAAUCUCCAAACUCAAACACACUGUGCACAGCUAAAGUUCCUCCUAGAUAAAACAUUGGAAGCAAAAAUCAGUGUGCAAAAAGUGGUCUGUACCAAAACACAUUGAAAAUGUGAUACAUUAAAUAUGUGCUAGGUUUUAUGAGUAUCUUCAAGCCUGUAAGCAGGUAAAACCUUUUUAAUUUAAAGUAAUCAGUUUUUUGCAAAGAAAAUUGUAGCUGACCUGAAAUGCAGUGUCACCUUCUCAUACAAACCACAAAACUGAAAAGGCCAUCUCUCUUAAAUUGUACUGGUGAUUACUGUCAUUAUUGUACAUUCCAGCGACUUUUUCCAAAACAAAAUUUUUCAUGUGUUUAUUUUCUCAAUUUCUUUCCUGUUCGUUUUCACCACAACUACUUGUGCACUAUUCUAAAGGCAUAUCAAGAAAAUGCACUGAUAACAUAAGAACUCUAUUUUAGCAGUAUAUUUAUAUUUAAUUUUGGUCUGCUUUAAGCUAAUUCUAGUCAACGAAGUGGAAAAGGGGUAGUGGUGCAGUGCAGGGUGAUAGUGGGGGGAGUUGAAAUAUUCCUGAAAAUAGCUUCUUAGCCAUGGAAUAAAUCAGUAUGUAAAAUGUUGUGCCUCUUCCCUGCUUGAAUAGACAGUGGAUAGGAGCAAGGCCUAAUUUAGCAUCAAUUUGUAUCACAUGAGACACUAGGUAGAAUCAUAAAGUAGUCUUUGCUAUUCACUGGACAUCAUUAACAAUCUCUGAAGUUGGGGAGAAUUUCCGUUCAGUAUCCUGCCUAAGUCUGCAAAUUUAUUAUUUCAGUGCUGUGCCCUGUCAUAAGCCCUGCCCUCCAGGUUGAAUUUGAUCAACAGCUCAAUAGAUAUUUUGAACUAUCAUCAACCAUUACCUAAAAGUUUAGUCAUGCAAAUAAAUGUAUGCCACUGUGUUGUACCUACAUUUGUUCUUCAGCUAUUUCAGUGGUUCUAUUUUUAAGUACUGAGAAUUCAAAUAAAUUUCCUCUAAAAUCUCUUUAGAACAGUCAUAUAUCAUGUGCUGUAGUCUCUAUGCAAUGAGGGUCAAAAUAAAUCUGUUAGGCAACAUUUUGGAUGCAGUCUUAUAUUAAUAAAAAAAGUCAAAAUUACCCCUUGGGAGACAUAGCCAGAAAGAUUUGAUAAAAAUUUAUCUAUCUUUAGUGAAACACAAUUUCUCUGAAAAGUAAAAAGAUGAUAAAUGAAAGAAAAAGUUGAAUGGAGAGAUUGAAAAAGAGCAAGAGAAAAAUGUGGUGAGCAGGAUGUAACAUUGCAGUGGAAAUAAACUUCUUAAUUAUGUACUGACAGCUCUUCCCAUUUUUACCAUGCCUGAAAUACCUUACAUCAACUAAUAAGGACUGAGGUGUGGUUAAAUGUUAGAGUUCUAAGUGUAAUAUUAUCUUUGGAAAAUGACAAAUUAUUGUAAAGCUAAAUUGAUAAAUUUGCUUUUUCUAGGAAGAUUUAGUCAUUCCUACAUUAAAAUGUGUUCUCAGAUGUAUAUAUUGCAUUUUACCCUCUUCUGACAAGCAUGAGUUCUCUUGCGGUUUUAAUCUACCUUUCUUCUAAAAAUUCUACUCAUGCCAAGCUACUUCAGGGCACCAAAAGCAGUACUGGUUUGCAGUCAAUGUCUGGUAAGUGGAAAGGAAUUAUCUCAAGUGCAAGGCAAAACUUAACUAAAAAUCUGCUGAACUAUGUUUUAAAAGUACUUUUUAAAAAAUUGCAAUAUCAACCACUUAUUGAAGAGAUAUGAACAAAGCUAGAAAAAAUUAUUGAAAAUGUUUCAUUUGAAAGACAGUGAUAGUAAGAAUGGAAAGGGAAACUGAAGGAAGUAGGUCUGUUUGAGAAGCCCAA
This is a long non-coding RNA of Passer domesticus (house sparrow), 2595 nucleotides long. RefSeq lists it as uncharacterized. The transcript is spliced from 3 exons. The record is from RefSeq and is a predicted model, not a curated record. Lineage: Eukaryota; Metazoa; Chordata; Aves; Passeriformes; Passeridae.